UGUUUCCGGAAGGGGCGGGCUUUGCGAAGAUGGCGGCGCCGGGGGUGUUGGAGGCGGACCUGCCGGCCGCCGUGACCCUCCUGAAGAGCCUGCAGGAGCAGGUGAUGGCUGUCACUGCACAGGUGCAAGCACUGACCAAGAAAGUUAAAGCCGGAGCCUAUCCUACAGAGAAGGGACUCAGCUUCCUAGAAGUGAAAGACCAGCUGCUGCUCAUGUACCUCAUGGAUCUGAGCCACCUCCUCCUGGACAAGGCGUCGGGAGGGUCUCUGCAGGGGCACGCUGCGGUUCUGAGACUGGUGGAGAUUCGCACGGUUUUGGAAAAGCUUCGUCCUUUGGACCAAAAACUGAAGUAUCAAAUUGACAAACUGGUCAGGACUGCAGUGACAGGCAGCCUCAGUGAGAAUGACCCACUUCGUUUUAAGCCUCAUCCCAGCAGUAUGAUGAGCAAGUUGAGCUCUGAGGAUGAAGAGGAAGAUGAAGCGGAGGAUGGGCAGUCGUCAGAGAAGAAAUCUGCAAAAGGAGCGUCUAAGAAAUACGUCCCACCGCGCCUGGUCCCAGUGCACUACGACGAAACAGAGGCCGAGCGGGAGAGAAAGCGGCUGGAACGAGCCAAGAGGCGGGCACUGAGCAGCUCUGUCAUCCGCGAACUUAAGGAACAGUACUCAGACGCGCCAGAGGAAAUCCGCGAUGCUCGCCAUCCUCAUGUUACUCGCCAGAGUCAGGAGGACCAGCACAGGAUUAACUAUGAGGAGAGCAUGAUGGUGCGUUUAAGCGUCAGCAAGCGAGAGAAGGGACGGCGAAAGCGCGCAAAUGUCAUGAGCUCACAGCUUCAUUCCCUCACGCACUUCAGUGACAUCAGUGCCUUGACAGGAGGAGCCGCUCACCUCGAUGAGGAUCAGAAUCCUGUCAAGAAGCAGAAGAGGAUACCUAAGAAAGGGCGGAAGAAAAAAGGGGUGACUGUCUCACAGAGGUGGACGAUCAGAGGGUGAAGGACUGUGUCGUGAAACAUGUCCAGGUGGUGGAGGUCCAGGUAGUCGCGGACCUGUUCCAUGAGCCCUGAGCCUGGACCAUUGGCUUUGUUGGUUCUCACGGACUCCGCCGGGCGGGAGCAAGCCACUGGGUGUCACUCCCCGGAGCAGGAGUGCUGCCGCUCAGGACUUGCGGGCUGAGACAGGGGCUCAGGAGCAAGGCUUCCAGCUACCAGGAACAAGACGCACGAGGGUCGGCCCACGUCAGCAGUCAGCCAGGCUCGUUUGCUCCCUGCUCUCCAGGGUCCCAGGUCUUUGCUCUCGACAGAAGCUAAAUCAGUCCCAGAGCUACUUUCUUCGCGAUCUUGAGCUACCUGGUAUUCCAGUGUUCCUGGAA
RNA transcript from Lepus europaeus (European hare), 1365 nucleotides. It is a transcript of the gene named neuroguidin, with no coding region annotated. The record is from RefSeq and is a predicted model, not a curated record. The transcript has 13 exons. NCBI's taxonomy places the organism in Eukaryota, Metazoa, Chordata, Mammalia, Lagomorpha, Leporidae.